RNAcentral lists this ribosomal RNA (493 nucleotides) under uncultured bacterium. Its description in RNAcentral is "bacterial SSU rRNA". It matches the Rfam family "Bacterial small subunit ribosomal RNA", at positions 903 to 1397 of the family's 1533-position model. The record is from RNAcentral.
AAAUGAAUAGACGGGGGCCCGCACAAGCGGAGGAGCAUGUGGUUUAAUUCGAUGAUACGCGAGGAACCUUACCCGGGCUUGAAAGUUAAGGAAUGAUGUGGAAAUAUGUCAGUCAGCAAUGACCUGAAACUAGGUGCUGCAUGGCUGUCGUCAGCUCGUGCCGUGAGGUGUUAGGUUAAGUCCUGUAACGAGCGCAACCCCUAUCAUUAGUUGCCAGCGGGUUAUGCCGGGGACUCUAAUGAGACUGCCUGCGCAAGCAGUGAGGAAGGUGGGGAUGACGUCAAGUCAUCACGGCCCUUACGUCCGGGGCUACACACGUGCUACAAUGGCCGAUACAAUGGGCUGCUACAUGGUAACAUGAUGCAAAUCUCUAAAAUCGGUCUCAGUUCGGAUUGAGGUCUGCAACUCGACCUCAUGAAGCUGGAUUCGCUAGUAAUCGUACAUCAGCAAUGGUACGGUGAAUACGUUCCCGGGCCUUGUACACACCGCCCGU